GUUGGGUCUGGUGACGCACGCCUGUAAUCCCAGCGACUUGGGAGGCUGAGAUAGGAAGAUCUCAAGUUCAAAGAGAGCCUCAGCAAUGGCAAGGCACUAAGCAACUCAGUGAGACCCUGUUUCUA
Molecule: small RNA, 125 nt
Filed under: Marmota monax (woodchuck)
Lineage: Eukaryota; Metazoa; Chordata; Mammalia; Rodentia; Sciuridae
Source: RNAcentral